GCACCUGGGCAGGGAGUCAGGCUCAGGAGCUGACUCCACCAAGCACUGGCUAUGUGAAUCUGGCAAGCUACUUGACUCCUUCGCUUGUUGGUUUCUUCAUUCUGUAAAAUGGAUGUGAAUGACAUCCAGCUUGUAGGGUGGUUGAAAAAUGAACUGGACAGACAUCUUCAAUUUGAAGGACAUGUCUCCCUAAAUUACUCAAGCUGGUCUCAAACUUAUAAUACUCCUGCCUUACCCUCCCGAGGAACUGGAAUCACAGGGGUAGAACCCAGUGCCUACACAUGCUAGCCCACCUUCAACCUCAGACCGGCAGCCAGAGGUAACAAGGACAGAGAGAAACAUAGAAAGAGGAGAGAAGAAAGAAGAUGGAGGAAGGAGGAAGGACAAAUGGAAGGCAUGUGAGAGAUUCUCUGGGCAGUUGGUAGCCACUUCCGCUGGGGAGAUUUACCACCACCAUCGUGAAGGGCAGGCAAAACCCCUAUGAACUGGCCGCCACCUUGU
Ictidomys tridecemlineatus (thirteen-lined ground squirrel) is the source of this 501-nucleotide non-coding RNA. NCBI's taxonomy places the organism in Eukaryota, Metazoa, Chordata, Mammalia, Rodentia, Sciuridae. The record is from RefSeq and is a predicted model, not a curated record.